This 1337-nucleotide ribosomal RNA is filed under the name Mallota viridiflavescentis. RNAcentral's name for it is "16S ribosomal RNA". Lineage: Eukaryota; Metazoa; Arthropoda; Insecta; Diptera; Syrphidae. The record is from RNAcentral.
UUUAAUAAUUAUUAAUUAAUUUUUUUUGAUUAGAAAUAAAGUAUUAAAAAUAAUUAUAAUAUAUAAUGUUUAAGUAUUUUGUAAAGAAAAAAUAAUUUUAAUAAUAGUUUAUUAGUAUUGUGAAAUAAAAUUGAAAUAUAAUGAAAAAUUUUUAUUAUAAAAGAAAAUUUUAUUUAUUGUAUCUUGUGUAUCAGAGUAUAUUAAAUAAAGAAUAUAUUUAUGUUUUUCUCGAUUUUAAAAGAUUUAAUAAAUUAUGAAUGUUAAUGUUAUAAAAUUAUAUUCAAUAAUUUAUUAGAAAUGAAAUGUUAUUCGUUUUUAAAGGUAUCUAGUUUUUUAAGAAAUAAAUUCAAUUUAGUGUUUAAAAUUUAUUUAUUUAUUUAUGUAAAUUAAUUAAUUUUUGAAUAUAAAUAUUUUAUGGGAUAAGCUAUAAAAUAAAUUUUUAUAAAUAAUAAAUAUUGUUUAAAAUUUUAUAUGUUUAAAAGUAUCAAUUUUUAAUAAAUUUGUUAUAAAUUAAUUUUUUUAAUAAAUUAUUUAUUAUAUUUUAAUUUUUUAUUAAAAUAUUUAUUUAAAUAUAAAAAAUAAAGGAAUAAUGAUAUAAUUAGUAUAUUAAAUUUGUAUAAUAUAAUAUAUUAAAAUGAAAAGUUUAUGUAAAGAAUUCGGCAAAAAUAAUGUUCGCCUGUUUAACAAAAACAUGUCUUUUAGAAAUUAAUUUAAAGUCUGACCUGCCCACUGAUUUUAUUUUAAAUGGCCGCAGUAUAUUAACUGUGCAAAGGUAGCAUAAUCAUUAGUCUUUUAAUUGAAGGCUGGAAUGAAUGGUUGGACGAAAUAUUAACUGUUUCAUUUAAAUUUAUAUUAAAAUUUUAUUUUUUAGUUAAAAAGCUAAAAUUUAAUUAAAAGACGAGAAGACCCUAUGAAUCUUUAUAUAUUUUUUAUUUUAAUUUUUUAGAUGAUUUUGAUUAUAAUAAUAAUAAUAUAUUUUAUUGGGGUGAUAUUAAAAUUUAAAUAACUUUUAAUUAUUUAAAUCAUUAAUUUAUGAAAAUUUGAUCCAUUUUUAGUGAUUAAAAAUUUAAGUUACUCUAGGGAUAACAGCGUAAUUUUUUUGGAGAGUUCAUAUCGAUAAAAAAGAUUGCGACCUCGAUGUUGGAUUAAGAGAUAAUUUUAGGUGUAGCCGUUUAAAUUUAAAGUCUGUUCGACUUUUAAAAUCUUACAUGAUCUGAGUUCAAACCGGCGUAAGCCAGGUUGGUUUCUAUCUUUAAUAAAUUAAUAUAUUUUAGUACGAAAGGAUUGAAUAUAUAAAUAAUUUUAUUUUAUAGAUAAGAAUAUAAUUAAUUAUUAAA